Molecule: ribosomal RNA, 377 nt
Filed under: uncultured bacterium
Lineage: Bacteria
Description: bacterial SSU rRNA
Rfam family: Bacterial small subunit ribosomal RNA
Source: RNAcentral
UACGUAGGGUCCAAGCGUUAUUCGGAAUUACUGGGCGUAAAGCGUACGUAGGCGGUUUGAUAAGUUGGAUGUGAAAUCCUGUGGCUCAACCAUAUGGACUGUGUCCAAAACUAUCAGACUAGAGCAUAGUAGAGGCAAGUGGAAUUUGCGGUGUAGGAGUGACAUCCGUAGAUAUCGCAAGGAACACCAAUGGCGAAGGCAGCUUGCUGGGCUAUUGCUGACGCUCAGGUACGAAAGCGUGGGGAGCGAACGGGAUUAGAUACCCCGGUAGUCCACGCCGUAAACGAUGAUCACUAGCAGUAUGGAGAUUCGACCCUCUGUGUUGCAAAGCUAACGCGUUAAGUGAUCCGCCUGGGGAGUACGGGCGCAAGCUUAAA